UGCCCCAUGGCUGAGUUGGUUACAGCGUCCGACUGUUAUACCCACCGUACAACGCGAUUACAAUCGGAAGGUCGAGAGUUCGAGCCUCUCUGGGGCAG
Hymenopellis radicata is the source of this 98-nucleotide non-coding RNA. The record is from the annotation of a GenBank genome assembly. NCBI's taxonomy places the organism in Eukaryota, Fungi, Basidiomycota, Agaricomycetes, Agaricales, Physalacriaceae.